CAGGAAGUGGGGCUGGAGGAGAACGCUUUCCUGGUAAAUAUUUUUGGGUACCAGCCUUCUGGAACUGACCACAGAAAUCCCGUGGUGCUUCCGGCUUUCUUUUCAGGAAUGCACCCUCAUUUGGAGGACACCGGGUGUUCCGGUGAUGGCUGUCCCUCCAGCUGCUCUGAGAUUGUUCUCUGUGACCGUAUGCACAUAAAUACAGAGAGGCCAGGCUGUCCUGCUGUAGCAGGGGGGCUCUACUGCAUCGACUGUACCCAUUUCCACUGAAUUGUGGCACCACACGGGUUUCACAGGACAGCAUUGCACUUCAGAGGUAAUUGUCAAAAUGGGCAGAGAAAUUUCUUGUA
RNAcentral lists this long non-coding RNA (350 nucleotides) under Cricetulus griseus (Chinese hamster). Its description in RNAcentral is "lncRNA (ENSCGRG00000025865.1)". The record is from RNAcentral. Lineage: Eukaryota; Metazoa; Chordata; Mammalia; Rodentia; Cricetidae.